CCGGUUGAUCCUGCCGGACCCGACCGCUAUCGGGGUAGGGCUAAGCCAUGCGAGUCGUGCGCCCGGGGGCGCCCGGGAGCGGCGCACGGCUCAGUAACACGUGCCUAACCUAACCUCGGGAGGGGGAUACCCCCGGGAAACUGGGGUCAAUCCCCCAUAGGGGAAGGGCGCUGGAAGGCCCCUUCCCCGAAAGGGCUGGCGGCCGAUCCGCCGCCAGCCGCCCGAGGGUGGGGGCACGGCCCAUCAGGUAGUUGGCGGGUUAAAGGCCCGCCAAGCCGAAGACGGGUAGGGGCGGUGAGAGCCGUGAGCCCCGAGAUGGGCACUGAGACAAGGGCCCAGGCCCUACGGGGCGCAGCAGGCGCGAAUACUCCGCAAUGCGGGCAACCGCGACGGGGCUACCCCGAGUGCCGGGCGAAGAGCCCGGCUUUUGCCCGGUCUAAAAAGCCGGGAGAAUAAGCGGGGGGCAAGUCUGGUGUCAGCCGCCGCGGUAAUACCAGCUCCGCGAGUGGUCGGGGUGUUUACUGGGCUUAAAGCGCCCGUAGCCGGCCCGGCAAGUCGCUCCUGAAAUCCCCGGGCUCAACCCGGGGG
Molecule: ribosomal RNA, 588 nt
Filed under: uncultured Pyrobaculum sp.
Lineage: Archaea; Thermoproteati; Thermoproteota; Thermoprotei; Thermoproteales; Thermoproteaceae
Description: bacterial SSU rRNA
Rfam family: Archaeal small subunit ribosomal RNA
Source: RNAcentral